Molecule: ribosomal RNA, 425 nt
Filed under: uncultured bacterium
Lineage: Bacteria
Description: partial 16S ribosomal RNA
Rfam family: Bacterial small subunit ribosomal RNA
Source: RNAcentral
GUGGGGAAUAUUGGACAAUGGGCGCAAGCCUGAUCCAGCCAUGCCGCGUGAGUGAUGAAGGCCUUAGGGUUGUAAAGCUCUUUUGUCCGGGAAGAUAAUGACUGUACCGGAAGAAUAAGCCCCGGCUAACUUCGUGCCAGCAGCCGCGGUAAUACGAAGGGGGCUAGCGUUGCUCGGAAUCACUGGGCGUAAAGGGCGCGUAGGCGGACUCUUAAGUCGGGGGUGAAAGCCCAGGGCUCAACCCUGGAAUAGCCUUCGAUACUGAGAGUCUUGAGUUCGGAAGAGGUUGGUGGAAUUGCGAGUGUAGAGGUGAAAUUCGUAGAUAUUCGCAAGAACACCAGUGGCGAAGGCGGCCAACUGGUCCGAUACUGACGCUGAGGCGCGAAAGCGUGGGGAGCAAACAGGAUUAGAUACCCCAGUAGUCC